CGGUCUGGAAAGGCCCGCCAAAGACGGUAACAGCCCGGUAGUUGAAAUGGCUUUCCCUCCAGAGUGGAUCCUGAGUACGGCGGAACACGUGAAAUUCCGUCGGAAUCCGGGAGGACCAUCUCCCAAGGCUAAAUACUCCCUAGUGACCGAUAGUGAACCAGUACCGUGAGGGAAAGGUGAAAAGCACCCCGGAAGGGGAGUGAAACAGUUCCUGAAACCGUGUGCCUACAAGUAGUUAGAGCCCGUUAAUGGGUGAUAGCGUGCCUUUUGUAGAAUGAACCGGCGAGUUACGAUUUGUUGCAAGGUUAAGCGGAAAAAGCGGAGCCGUAGCGAAAGCGAGUCUGAAUAGGGCGCAUAAGUAACAGGUCGUAGACCCGAAACCAGGUGAUCUACCCAUGUCCAGGAUGAAGGUAAGGUAAUACUUACUGGAGGUCCGAACCCACGCACGUUGAAAAGUGCGGGGAUGAGGUGUGGGUAGCGGAGAAAUUCCAAUCGAACUUGGAGAUAGCUGGUUCUCUCCGAAAUAGCUUUAGGGCUAGCCUCGAGGUAAAGAGUCAUGGAGGUAGAGCACUGUUUGGACUAGGGGCCCUUCUCGGGUUACCGAAUUCAGAUAAACUCCGAAUGCCAUGUACUUAUACUCGGGAGUCAGACUGCGAGUGAUAAGAUCCGUAGUCGAAAGGGAAACAGCCCAGACCACCAGUUAAGGUCCCCAAAUAUAUGUUAAGUGGAAAAGGAUGUGGGGUUGCUUAGACAACCAGGAUGUUGGCUUAGAAGCAGCCACCAUUGAAAGAGUGCGUAAUAGCUCACUGGUCGAGUGACCCCGCGCCGAAAAUGUACCGGGGCUAAACAUAUUACCGAAACUGUGGAUGAACCUCUUUAGAGGUUCGUGGUAGGAGAGCGUUCUAAGGGCGGUGAAGUCAGACCGGAAGGACUGGUGGAGCGCUUAGAAGUGAGAAUGCCGGUAUGAGUAGCGAAAGAAGGGUGAGAAUCCCUUCCACCGAAUAUCUAAGGUUUCCUGAGGAAGGCUCGUCCGCUCAGGGUUAGUCGGGACCUAAGCCGAGGCCGAUAGGCGUAGGCGAUGGACAACAGGUAGAGAUUCCUGUACCAGUGCUAAUUGUUUAACCGAUGGGGUGACACAGAAGGAUAGGGAAUCGCACGAAUGGAAAUGUGCGUCCAAGCAGUGAGUGUGAGAAGUAGGCAAAUCCGCUUCUUGCGAAGCAUGAGCUGUGAUGGGGAAGGAAAUUAAGUACGGAAGUUCCUGAUUUCACGCUGUCAAGAAAAGCCUCUAGGAAGAGUAGUACUGCCCGUACCGCAAACCGACACAGGUAGAUGAGGAGAGAAUCCUAAGGUGAGCGAGAGAACUCUCGUUAAGGAACUCGGCAAAAUGACCCCGUAACUUCGGGAGAAGGGGUGCUCUAUUAGGGUGCAAGCCCGAGAGAGCCGCAGUGAAUAGGCCCAGGCGACUGUUUAGCAAAAACACAGGUCUCUGCAAAACCGUAAGGUGACGUAUAGGGGCUGACGCCUGCCCGGUGCUGGAAGGUU
Molecule: ribosomal RNA, 1542 nt
Filed under: Listeria monocytogenes
Lineage: Bacteria; Bacillati; Bacillota; Bacilli; Caryophanales; Listeriaceae
Description: partial 23S ribosomal RNA
Rfam family: Bacterial large subunit ribosomal RNA
Source: RNAcentral